This is a long non-coding RNA of Cebus imitator (Panamanian white-faced capuchin), 882 nucleotides long. RefSeq lists it as uncharacterized. The record is from RefSeq and is a predicted model, not a curated record. The transcript is spliced from 4 exons. Lineage: Eukaryota; Metazoa; Chordata; Mammalia; Primates; Cebidae.
CUUCCACCUUUCGCCGUGGGACGGCACCUCUCGAAGGCCUUCCCUUGAUGUGAGACCCUCGGUCUUGGACUUCCCAACCUCCAGAACUGUGUUGAGCUAAGAGAAACCAGUAACAACAGACAAUCAGAAACUACCCGCAAAUGGAUGGAUCUAUCAGGAAACCCUUCAUCAGGCUACAGCCCUGACAGCAACUCAGAUGGCAUCACUCACAACCCAGCAAGGAAAUGGACGGAGAGGAAACCUCUGCAGAGAAGGGUUUUUGGGUCGAUCUUGCCUUCCACCUUCUCCAGGCCAGUGGGCCUGGUGCUCUGGCACUAGGAUCCCACUAAGGAAGACCUUCUCCCCAAUCUGUGAAUUGAAACACUUCUCCCAAGUGGAAAAUAAGGAGGCUUCAGAGACUCUUGGCAUAAAAAGGAAGGAGCCCAUCCACCAGGCCUGCUGGUGUCACUGACUUGGGAGGAUGAACAGCCCUUAAUCAAAACCUUGCUCCAGGGAGAAAAGCAGGAAAAUACCAUUACUGGCCUAAUUGCAGAGAUUUCACUUGGAAAAAAUUGAUCUGGGUCAGCAGGAGCUGUUUCUGCCUCGUCUUCAAGUCUUGUUUCCUGCACAUAGACACUAUAAUUAUAGGCGAAUUCAGCUGAGUUGAUGUAACAAGCAAGUAGAUGCCACAAAACUGGCAAGAUAAAAGGAAAACCAAGAAAAUUGAGGAUGACUACUUUGUAUUCGACUUUUCCUAAGACUGGGAACUUCAGAAAUCUGCAAACUAAAAGUAUAAGCUACCUAAACUUAAGUAAAAGAAGCAAAAGGGGAUGGAAAUGUAUAUUCUCAUGGAUACAUAAAAAUGACACUGUUUUCUGGUUUAAACUUUAAAAAGUUUGUGCA